This is a long non-coding RNA of Egretta garzetta (little egret), 349 nucleotides long. RefSeq lists it as uncharacterized. The transcript has 3 exons. NCBI's taxonomy places the organism in Eukaryota, Metazoa, Chordata, Aves, Pelecaniformes, Ardeidae. The record is from RefSeq and is a predicted model, not a curated record.
CCACAAUUGCCUCAUGGAUGGCUUCAGACACCUUCAGGCUCUCUGCUGAAGAGAUGCCAGACAGAUUGGCUGAUGAGCUGAACAGGUAGACCAUGGACAGAGCUGAAAUGAUGCUCAGGGGGGAGUAGAAGAUGUUCUCAUUGACAUGCUGGACUUUCAGCUCCUUGAAUACAUCAAAACAAAAUUCCCCGCUUGCUGCACCGAUGGAGCCCAUUGUGAAACCAGUAUUGCCUAGAGCAAACAGCAGAAGUACAAUGACAAGGGGGAACAAUAUCUACCAAAGAAGAGGAUGUUGUCAGUUGGAUUGUGCUUGAUCAAGAAAAGGAAAGGGUGGUCAGCCCUAAACUCU